AGAUUUCUCCCACUCAAACAUUAUCUUCUUCACUUGGACCUCCCAUGCCGAAAUGAAGGAGUGAGAAAACUCCCAUGGUCGCCCACCUUCAAACCUUCACAACCCCAUGAUCAAGCCUCCUUUUCCCACACCUUUCUUCAUUAAAGAUUGUCUACACAUCAUAAGGAAGAGCUUGAUACCAAAAUCAAGAAGUUUGGUGAAGGUUUAGCAAGUUACAACCAUAGGUAAGUUUACAUUUUUGAAUGUUGCUUUGUUAAACUUUGUGUACAUGUUAUGGGUGUUGGAUUUGUGAAGAAAAUUUUUAAGUU
This 308-nucleotide unclassified non-coding RNA is filed under the name Hevea brasiliensis (rubber tree). The record is from RNAcentral. Lineage: Eukaryota; Viridiplantae; Streptophyta; Magnoliopsida; Malpighiales; Euphorbiaceae.